GACGAACGCUGGCGGCGUGCUUAACACAUGCAAGUCGAACGGUGAAGGGGUCUGCUUUUGUGGGCCCUGGAUGAGUGGCGAACGGGUGAGUAACACGUGAGUAACCUGCCCCCUUCUUCUGGAUAACCGCAUGAAAGUGUGGCUAAUACGGGAUAUUCUGGGUCUGUCGCAUGAUGGGUCUGGGAAAGAUUGCGCCUUUGGGUGUUUUUGGUGGGGGAUGGGCUCGCGGCCUAUCAGCUUGUUGGUGGGGUGAUGGCCUACCAAGGCGGUGACGGGUAGCCGGCCUGAGAGGGUGGACGGUCACACUGGGACUGAGACACGGCCCAGACUCCUACGGGAGGCAGCAGUGGGGAAUAUUGCACAAUGGGCGCAAGCCUGAUGCAGCGACGCCGCGUGAGGGAUGGAGGCCUUCGGGUUGUAAACCUCUUUCGCCAGUGAAGCAGGCCUGCUCCUUGUGGGUGGGUUGACGGUAGCUGGAGAAGAAGCGCCGGCUAACUACGUG
This 502-nucleotide ribosomal RNA is filed under the name uncultured bacterium. RNAcentral's name for it is "partial 16S ribosomal RNA". It matches the Rfam family "Bacterial small subunit ribosomal RNA", at positions 28 to 507 of the family's 1533-position model. The record is from RNAcentral.